This 465-nucleotide ribosomal RNA is filed under the name Vreelandella stevensii. RNAcentral's name for it is "partial 16S ribosomal RNA". It matches the Rfam family "Bacterial small subunit ribosomal RNA", at positions 338 to 795 of the family's 1533-position model. Lineage: Bacteria; Pseudomonadati; Pseudomonadota; Gammaproteobacteria; Oceanospirillales; Halomonadaceae. The record is from RNAcentral.
CCUACGGGUGGCUGCAGUGGGGAAUAUUGGACAAUGGGCGAAAGCCUGAUCCAGCCUUGCCGCGUGUGUGAAGAAGGCCUUCGGGUUGUAAAGCACUUUCAGUGGGGAAGAAAGCCUUGGGGCUAAUACCCUCGAGGAAGGACAUCACCCACAGAAGAAGCACCGGCUAACUCCGUGCCAGCAGCCGCGGUAAUACGGAGGGUGCGAGCGUUAAUCGGAAUUACUGGGCGUAAAGCGCGCGUAGGCGGUCUGAUAAGCCGGUUGUGAAAGCCCCGGGCUCAACCUGGGAACGGCAUCCGGAACUGUCAGGCUAGAGUGCAGGAGAGGAAGGUAGAAUUCCCGGUGUAGCGGUGAAAUGCGUAGAGAUCGGGAGGAAUACCAGUGGCGAAGGCGGCCUUCUGGACUGACACUGACGCUGAGGUGCGAAAGCGUGGGUAGCAAACAGGAUUAGAUACCCCUGUAGUC